GGGCAUGACCACAGCCUUUCUACCUUUGGCAGCCUGUCAAAGGGAAUCUUCUGGAGCCAGCCUCUUCCCUCCUUUCCCACCCGAGAGAGGAAACAUUCUUGCUGGGAAUGAGGCUGUCAAUCUACCUGAUUAAGAGUGAGAGAAGAGAGGGCCUAGCAUGGUAUAGAUGUUCAACCUGUGUUUGUUGACUGACUGAGUGAAUGGAGAAAGAGGGAAAUGCAAAAGAAAGAAGGAAAGGAGGAGGAUGGAUAUGAACUCUGAGACAAUUCUUUGACUGCCUGCAUCUGACAUGGACUUGUAUGGAAAGAAGCAGAUGGGUUUAAGCAAAGUGUUUGCUGCGCAUCAGGAUGUUUGGUGGACAUUCCAUUGUGGAUGGACCCUGGCUUCUUGCCCAACCGCUUAUGUUGGAAAUGCCCACCAGACUGGACCUCCCUGGAGACCAAACGCAGCCCAUCUUGGGAGCUGGCCAGUGCCACAUCCUCCCCCUCUUGCAGGGACCAGCUGAGUCAGUUGCUCCAUCUCGCACCUCUCAACACCUUCCUGUGUGGCACUGGACCACCUGUGGAAGCCCUGG
Long non-coding RNA from Homo sapiens (human), 574 nucleotides. Ensembl annotates it as long intergenic non-protein coding RNA 2054. The record is from Ensembl. Lineage: Eukaryota; Metazoa; Chordata; Mammalia; Primates; Hominidae.